This 376-nucleotide ribosomal RNA is filed under the name uncultured bacterium. Its description in RNAcentral is "bacterial SSU rRNA". It matches the Rfam family "Bacterial small subunit ribosomal RNA", at positions 524 to 898 of the family's 1533-position model. The record is from RNAcentral.
UACGGAGGGUGCAAGCGUUGUUCGGAAUUACUGGGCGUAAAGCGCGUGUAGGCGGCUUGGCAAGUCGGAUGUGAAAUCCCCGGGCUCAACCCGGGAACUGCAUCCGAAACUGCUUCGCUAGAGUCUCGGAGAGGAAGGCAGAAUUCCCAGUGUAGGGGUGAAAUCCGUAGAUACUGGGAGGAAUACCGGCAGCGAAGGCGGCCUUCUGGACGAUGACUGACGCUGAGACGCGAAAGCGUGGGGAGCAAACAGGAUUAGAUACCCUGGUAGUCCACGCCGUAAACGUUGUGCACUAGGUGUCGGGAGUAUUCACCCUCCCGGUGCCGACGCUAACGCAAUAAGUGCACCGCCUGGGGAGUACGGCCGCAAGGCUAAA